This 1059-nucleotide ribosomal RNA is filed under the name Amynthas omeimontis. Its description in RNAcentral is "partial 12S ribosomal RNA". Lineage: Eukaryota; Metazoa; Annelida; Clitellata; Crassiclitellata; Megascolecidae. The record is from RNAcentral.
ACUCGAUAAUCCACGAAUACCAAACCUUCUCUUGAUAACCAGCAUGUGUACUGCCGUUGCAAGCAUACCUUUAAAAGACUAGUAUGCUACUAUGAAAAUUAAAAGCCCAUAGACAUCAGGUCAAAGUGCAGCUAAUGAAAAGGUGAUGAUGGGUUACAACCCUAAUAAAGGACCAUUGACUAAGAAAUCAAAACCUCUUAAGAAAUUGGACUUGGCCGUAACCAAAUUUAAAAUAAAGAAAUGAACCUUAUCUAAGACAUGUACACAUCGCCCGUCACUCUACCCUAAAGGGUAGAUAAGUCGUAACAAAGUAGGUGUAAUGGAAAUUGCACCUGUCGGGGUAUAGCAUAUAAAAUGCUUUUUACUUACACUAAAAAAAAAGUUAAUAAACUUGCUCCGCCCACACAUAAAGCCCCUAUAAAAUAUAAAUAAUAGAACCUAUAGACACAAAAACUAAGUACAGUACAGAAAUGGAAAAAUAAAAUGAAAUAAAGUAAUUUUUAACAAAUAUACCUUGUGCAUUAUGGUUUUACAAGAAAAUAGUUAAACACACAUAUCCCGAAUUCUCAAUGAGUUGUUAAACUGCUGUCAUGAACCCAUUAAUAACUGUAGAAAAAGCUUUAAAAGACAGUUUAACAGAGGCUACAUACCAUACGCAUAAGAAUAUAGCUGGUUUUCAACAAACAUUAUACAUUAAAACAUAUAAUAGCAUUAUAGUGUAAUAUUAUUGAGGACAAGCCCAAUAAUUUAAUGCAAUAAAUAAAAAUAUCUAAAUACAGCCGUAGGCCUAAAAUCAGCCAAAUAAAAUACUUUACCGUAAUAAAUAUAGAAAUAUAUAAAUACACCCAACUAUGCAGAAGGAAGUUGAAAUGGCAGAUAAACUAUACUAACUCCGCCUAUAAUAUGUAAAAAUAAGUAUUACCUCUUAUUAUCAAACAAUAAUCAAGAAUAAACAUCUAGUGCAGAAACAAUAAUUAAUUAAGGAACUCGGCAAAUAACUAUUUCGACUGUUUAACAAAAACAUUGUCUUAUGAACUAUAUAUUAGAUAAUACCUGCCC